GUGUGACUCGUCACACUAUCAUUAACUGAAUCCAUAGGUUAAUGAGGCGAACCGGGGGAACUGAAACAUCUAAGUACCCCGAGGAAAAGAAAUCAACCGAGAUUCCCCCAGUAGCGGCGAGCGAACGGGGAGGAGCCCAGAGCCUGAAUCAGCAUAUGUGUUAGUGGAAGCGUCUGGAAAGGCGCGCGAUACAGGGUGACAGCCCCGUACACAAAAGCGCAUGUGCUGUGAGCUCGAUGAGUAGGGCGGGACACGUGGUAUCCUGUCUGAAUAUGGGGGGACCAUCCUCCAAGGCUAAAUACUCCUGACUGACCGAUAGUGAACCAGUACCGUGAGGGAAAGGCGAAAAGAACCCCGGCGAGGGGAGUGAAAAAGAACCUGAAACCGUGUACGUACAAGCAGUGGGAGCACCCUUUGGGGUGUGACUGCGUACCUUUUGUAUAAUGGGUCAGCGACUUAUAUUCUGUAGCAAGGUUAACCGAAUAGGGGAGCCGGAGGGAAACCGAGUCUUAAUUGGGCGUUAAGUUGCAGGGUAUAGACCCGAAACCCGGUGAUCUAGCCAUGGGCAGGUUGAAGGUUGGGUAACACUAACUGGAGGACCGAACCGACUAAUGUUGAAAAAUUAGCGGAUGACCUGUGGCUGGGGGUGAAAGGCCAAUCAAACCGGGAGAUAGCUGGUUCUCCCCGAAAGCUAUUUAGGUAGCGCCUCGUGAAUUCAUCUCCGGGGGUAGAGCACUGUUUCGGCUAGGGGGCCAUCCCGGCUUACCAACCCGAUGCAAACUGCGAAUACCGGAGAAUGUUAUCACGGGAGACACACGGCGGGUGCUAACGUCCGUCGUGAAGAGGGAAACAACCCAGACCGCCAGCUAAGGUCCCAAAGUCAUGGUUAAGUGGGAAACGAUGUGGGAAGGCCCAGACAGCCAGGAUGUUGGCUUAGAAGCAGCCAUCAUUUAAAGAAAGCGUAAUAGCUCACUGGUCGAGUCGGCCUGCGCGGAAGAUGUAACGGGGCUAAACCAUGCACCGAAGCUGCGGCAGCGACGCUGAUGCGUUGUUGGGUAGGGGAGCGUUCUGUAAGCCUGCGAAGGUGGCCUGUGAGGGUUGCUGGAGGUAUCAGAAGUGCGAAUGCUGACAUAAGUAACGAUAAAGCGGGUGAAAAGCCCGCUCGCCGGAAGACCAAGGGUUCCUGUCCAACGUUAAUCGGGGCAGGGUGAGUCGACCCCUAAGGCGAGGCCGAAAGGCGUAGUCGAUGGGAAACGGGUUAAUAUUCCCGUACUUGGUGUUACUGCGAAGGGGGGACGGAGAAGGCUAUGUUGGCCGGGCGACGGUUGUCCCGGUUUAAGCGUGUAGGUGUGUGUUCCAGGUAAAUCCGGUUCACUUUAACACUGAGGCGUGAUGACGAGGCACUACGGUGCUGAAGCAACAAAUGCCCUGCUUCCAGGAAAAGCCUCUAAGCAUCAGGUAACAUCAAAUCGUACCCCAAACCGACACAGGUGGUCAGGUAGAGAAUACCAAGGCGCUUGAGAGAACUCGGGUGAAGGAACUAGGCAAAAUGGUGCCGUAACUUCGGGAGAAGGCACGCUGACACGUAGGUGAAGUGAUUUACUCAUGGAGCUGAAGUCAGUCGAAGAUACCAGCUGGCUGCAACUGUUUAUUAAAAACACAGCACUGUGCAAACACGAAAGUGGACGUAUACGGUGUGACGCCUGCCCGGUGCCGGAAGGUUAAUUGAUGGGGUCAGCGCAAGCGAAGCUCCUGAUCGAAGCCCCGGUAAACGGCGGCCGUAACUAUAACGGUCCUAAGGUAGCGAAAUUCCUUGUCGGGUAAGUUCCGACCUGCACGAAUGGCGUAAUGAUGGCCAGGCUGUCUCCACCCGAGACUCAGUGAAAUUGAACUCGCUGUGAAGAUGCAGUGUACCCGCGGCAAGACGGAAAGACCCCGUGAACCUUUACUAUAGCUUGACACUGAACAUUGAGCCUUGAUGUGUAGGAUAGGUGGGAGGCUUUGAAGUGUGGACGCCAGUCUGCAUGGAGCCGGCCUUGAAAUACCACCCUUUAAUGUUUGAUGUUCUAACGUGGACCCGUGAUCCGGGUUGCGGACAGUGUCUGGUGGGUAGUUUGACUGGGGCGGUCUCCUCCUAAAGAGUAACGGAGGAGCACGAAGGUUGGCUAAUCCUGGUCGGACAUCAGGAGGUUAGUGCAAUGGCAUAAGCCAGCUUGACUGCGAGCGUGACGGCGCGAGCAGGUGCGAAAGCAGGUCAUAGUGAUCCGGUGGUUCUGAAUGGAAGGGCCAUCGCUCAACGGAUAAAAGGUACUCCGGGGAUAACAGGCUGAUACCGCCCAAGAGUUCAUAUCGACGGCGGUGUUUGGCACCUCGAUGUCGGCUCAUCACAUCCUGGGGCUGAAGUAGGUCCCAAGGGUAUGGCUGUUCGCCAUUUAAAGUGGUACGCGAGCUGGGUUUAGAACGUCGUGAGACAGUUCGGUCCCUAUCUGCCGUGGGCGCUGGAGAACUGAGGGGGGCUGCUCCUAGUACGAGAGGACCGGAGUGGACGCAUCACUGGUGUUCGGGUUGUCAUGCCAAUGGCACUGCCCGGUAGCUAAAUGCGGAAGAGAUAAGUGCUGAAAGCAUCUAAGCACGAAACUUGCCCCGAGAUGAGUUCUCCCUGAGACUUAGAGUCUCCUGAAGGAACGUUGAAGACGACGACGUUGAUAGGCCGGGUGUGUAAGCGCAGCGAUGCGUUGAGCUAACCGGUACUAAUGAACCGUGAGGCUUAACCUUACA
This 2778-nucleotide ribosomal RNA is filed under the name Salmonella enterica subsp. enterica serovar Bredeney. RNAcentral describes it as "partial 23S ribosomal RNA". It matches the Rfam family "Bacterial large subunit ribosomal RNA". Lineage: Bacteria; Pseudomonadati; Pseudomonadota; Gammaproteobacteria; Enterobacterales; Enterobacteriaceae. The record is from RNAcentral.